Non-coding RNA from Phoenix dactylifera (date palm), 4132 nucleotides. Lineage: Eukaryota; Viridiplantae; Streptophyta; Magnoliopsida; Arecales; Arecaceae. The record is from RefSeq and is a predicted model, not a curated record.
AAAAAAAAAACGAAAAAAAAAGAAAAGAAAAGAAAGAAAGAAAGAAAGAAAGAAAGAAGGUUAUUGAUUAAGGGGCAUUAAUUACAAGGCUGUUUCACUUGUUGCAAAGCUGAAGACCCCUUGUUGCAAGGUUGUUUCACUUGUUACAAGACCGUUUUACGUAUUACAAGGCUGCUUAGCUUGUUCUUAUUUCUCCUUGCUUUCUAGUUGUUUCUAUUACAUAUCCUUUACUUCCUUUUGAAGUCUUCUUAUGUUCUUGAUGCUUUAAGACCAUUUUUCUUGUGAGUACCAUUUGCCUCAUCGAAGUCAAAAUUCUGAUUUUCUUGGAGAUUUGCCACCAUCCAUCUGAUCGCUCUUUGUGAUUUGUUGAUUUUGAUUCUUUCAAGAACAUAAAGAGGGCUGGCUUGAGUGGUAAAAGGCAAGAGUGUGAGUUCAUCAUCAAGAAAAAGCCAUAAAAGAGUGUCCACCCGAGAGAGGAGUGUGUGAGGACCUAUUCUGUUUAUACUAAUCUUUUGAUUGCAGCAUACAAAGAUGAGUAGUGGAGGUAGUGAACAACCAGAUGUUGAUAUGAAGUUAUGGAUGAAAGCCAUUGCUGAUCAACUUACUAAGCUUGGUGCACGAAUGGAUGAUUUGGAAUCACCAAGCAGAAUCAAACCUUUGAGGGGGCAGAUGUUUGAAGAUGAUGAAGAAGAUUUAGAUUAUGAAUCUUACUCUAGAAGGGGAAAGAAGGCCGAUGAUUCAAAAGAUAAUAAUCUGGGCAGCAUCAAGAUGAAGAUUCCUAUCUUUCAAGGAAAGAAUGAUCCCGAACUUUACUUGGAAUGGGAGAGAAAAGUUGAACAUGUGUUUGAUUGUCACAACUAUUCAAAUGAGAAAAAGGUGAAAUUGGCAGCCGUUGAGUUCACGGAUUAUGCAAGCAUAUGGUGGGAUCAAUUGAUGAUUAGUCGGCGAAGGAUUGGAGAAAGGCCAAUUCGGUCAUGGGAAGAUAUGAAAUUGGUAAUGCGCAAGAGAUUUGUACCUAGCCAUUACUAUAGAGAUUUACAUAGAAAGUUACAAGGGCUGGUUCAAGGCUCCAUGAGUGUGGAAGACUAUUAUAAAGAAAUGGAGAUGGCAAUGAUUAAAGCUAAUAUAGAGGAAGAUCGAGAGGCUACCAUGGCAAGAUUUAUUGGAGGCUUAAACAAAGAGGUUGCUGAUGUGGUUGAAUUGCAACACUAUGUGGAGAUGGAGGAGCUGUUGCACAAGGCCAUCAAAAUAGAAAAGCAAAUCAAGUCCAAAGGAUCCAAAUCGGGUUUGGCUUCUAGUUCCACAUGGAAGUCUAAUUGGAAGGAUAACAAAUCUGCCUCAAAAACAAAAGAAGAUGCAAAGCCAAAAGAUUCGGUUGCUAUUUCAAAAGGUAAAACCGAAACUAACACUUCUUCUAAAUCACGUAAUGUUAAGUGUUUUAGGUGCCAAGGAUUUGGGCAUAUUGCUUCCCAAUGCCCAAACAAGAGGAUUAUGAUUAUGUUGGAGAAUGGUGACAUUGAAAGUGCUAGUUCAAGUGAGGAUGAGAUGCCACCCUUAGAAAAUUGCAGUGAUAUUGACAUUGAAGAACCUGUACAUGGAGAUAUGUUGGUAACAAGAAGAGCACUUAGCAUCCAGCCUAAGGAUGAUGGUGAUAAGGAGCAACGUGAACAUAUUUUCCAUACUAGAUGUCAUGUGAAGGGAAAGGUAUGUACCAUGAUUAUUGAUAGCGGAAGCUGCACUAAUGUUGCUAGUACUUUGUUAGUAGAUAAGCUGGAGUUACCCACCAUGAAGCAUCCUAAUCCAUACAAGUUGCAAUGGUUAAAUGAAUGUGGAGAAGUGAGGGUAAACAAGCAAGUGCUCGUUUCAUUUUCAAUUGGCAAAUACACAGAUGAGAUUCUUUGUGAUGUGGCACCAAUGCAUGCUAGUCAUAUUUUGCUUGGACGACCAUGGCAGUUUGAUAGGAAGGUUACACACAAUGGAUACAAAAACCAUUAUUCUUUUAUGAUGAACAACCGCACUGUAGUCCUAACCCCUCUCAAACCUUUGCAAGCUUAUGAAGAUCAGAUUCGGAUAGCGAGAGAGUGUAAAAAGAGAGAAGGUGAGUCCGAGAGGAAAAAUGCAAAUGAAAGGAGUGAGAUUGAGAGCAGAGAGAAAAGUAUUCAAAAAAAAGAGAAAAGUAAAAAAAUGAGUGUGUUUGCUGAAAAAAAUGAGGUUAAGAGUGUUAUGUUCUCAAGACAGCAACUACUUGUACUUAUGUACAAGGAUGUUUAUCUUUCUACUAACGAUCUUAACCCCUCCUUGCCUAGUGUUGUUGUGACUUUAUUGCAGGAAUUUGAGGACAUAUUUCCAAAAGAGAUUCCUAAUGGACUACCACCCUUAAGAGGCAUUGAGCAUCAAAUAGACUUCAUGCCCGGUUCUACCAUUCCAAACAGACCUGCAUAUAGAGCUAAUCCCGAAGAAACAAAGGAAAUCCAAAGGCAAGUGGAUGAGCUGGUGAAAAAGGGAAUUGUCAGAGAAAGUCUUAGCCCAUGUUCGGUUCCUGUCAUCCUAGUCCCAAAGAAAGAUGGAACAUGGCGCAUGUGUGUGGAUUGCCGAGCCAUCAACAAAAUAACAGUUAAGUAUAGACAUCCUAUCCCAAGAUUAGAUGAUAUGCUUGAUGAAUUACAUGGCUCUUGUUUGUUUUCUAAAAUUGAUUUGAGAAAUGGCUACUAUCAAAUUCGUAUGAAAGAGGGAGAUGAAUGGAAGACAUCAUUCAAAACUAAAUAUGGAUUGUAUGAGUGGUUAGUGAUGCCUUUUGGUUUAACUAAUGCACCUAGUACUUUCAUGAGAUUGAUGAAUCAUGUUUUGCGUGCUUUCAUAGGUCAAUUUGUGGUAGUUUACUUUGAUGAUAUUUUAGUCUAUAGUAAGAACUUGGAUGAACAUGAACAACAUUUGCAUGCUGUUUUUAGCAAAUUGAAAGAACACCAAUUAUAUGCUAAUCUUAAGAAGUGUACAUUUUGCAUGGAAUCUGUUGUAUUUCUUGGUUUUGUUGUUAGUUCUCAAGGUAUUAGCAUGGAUGAGGAGAAGGUGAAGGCAAUCAGGGACUGGCCUACACCUAAGAAUGCGAACGAGGUAAGAAGUUUUCAUGGUUUAGCAAGUUUUUAUCGAAGGUUUGUUAAAAAUUUCAGUUCUAUUGCUGCACCUUUAAAUGAACUUGUUAAAAAGAAUGUUGUUUUUAAGUGGAAUGAUCAGCAUGAACAAGCUUUCACUGAUUUGAAAGAUAAGCUAACUAAUGCACCUUUGUUAAGUUUGCCUAACUUUGAUAAAGCUUUUGAAGUUGAAUGUGAUGCAUCCGGAAUUGGAAUAGGAGCUGUCUUGAUGCAAGAUUCCAAACCAAUUGCUUAUUUUAGUGAAAAGCUAAGUGGGGCAGCCUUGAAUUAUCCAACAUAUGACAAAGAACUUUAUGCAUUAGUGAGAACUCUUCAAACAUGGCAGCAUUACUUGUGGCCGAGGGAAUUCAUCAUUCAUUCUGAUCAUGAGAGCUUGAAGUUCUUGAAAUCCCAGGGUAAGCUUAAUAAGAGGCAUGCUAAGUGGCUGGAGUUCAUAGAAACAUUUCCUUAUUUCAUCAAGUACAAACAUGGAAAAGAAAAUAUCGUUGCUGACGCGUUGUCUCGAAGAAAAACAAAUCUCAUACAAGAGUCAGCUGCAGAAUUUUGUGCAGAAGAAAAUUGUUGAGGUACCAAGAUAUACCGGUGUUUGCGAGGGUUUACCUCAUGCUCCUCGCUCUAAGGCUAUAGUUACAGUUGAUGGAAAAAAUUUUGAGAGUUCACAAUAUUUCAGCACACUGAAGGAAGCAGAACAUGAUGCUGCAAAAGUUGCUUUGAUGUCUUUUUCUAUGGAAGAAAAUCAGCUGGGUGAAACAGGUUUCUACAAAAACCUUUUACAGGAAUUAGCACAGAAAGAAGGCUUUUCCUUGCCAACAUACACGACUGUCAGGGAUGGUGCUUGUCAUAUGCCCAUUUUCUCCUCCACUGUUGAGGUUGAAGGUGAAAGUUUUCAGGGAUAUGUUGCAAAGACUAAAAAACAGGCAGAAAUGAAUGCUGCAAAGGUUGCUUGGUGUCAGCUCAAUGAACGUAGAAUAUGCAGAUUUCCU